RNAcentral lists this ribosomal RNA (2488 nucleotides) under Staphylococcus aureus. RNAcentral's name for it is "partial 23S ribosomal RNA". It matches the Rfam family "Bacterial large subunit ribosomal RNA", at positions 390 to 2884 of the family's 2925-position model. Lineage: Bacteria; Bacillati; Bacillota; Bacilli; Caryophanales; Staphylococcaceae. The record is from RNAcentral.
GUCUCUCUUGAGUGGAUCCUGAGUACGACGGAGCACGUGAAAUUCCGUCGGAAUCUGGGAGGACCAUCUCCUAAGGCUAAAUACUCUCUAGUGACCGAUAGUGAACCAGUACCGUGAGGGAAAGGUGAAAAGCACCCCGGAAGGGGAGUGAAAUAGAACCUGAAACCGUGUGCUUACAAGUAGUCAGAGCCCGUUAAUGGGUGAUGGCGUGCCUUUUGUAGAAUGAACCGGCGAGUUACGAUUUGAUGCAAGGUUAAGCAGUAAAUGUGGAGCCGUAGCGAAAGCGAGUCUGAAUAGGGCGUUUAGUAUUUGGUCGUAGACCCGAAACCAGGUGAUCUACCCUUGGUCAGGUUGAAGUUCAGGUAACACUGAAUGGAGGACCGAACCGACUUACGUUGAAAAGUGAGCGGAUGAACUGAGGGUAGCGGAGAAAUUCCAAUCGAACCUGGAGAUAGCUGGUUCUCUCCGAAAUAGCUUUAGGGCUAGCCUCAAGUGAUGAUUAUUGGAGGUAGAGCACUGUUUGGACGAGGGGCCCCUCUCGGGUUACCGAAUUCAGACAAACUCCGAAUGCCAAUUAAUUUAACUUGGGAGUCAGAACAUGGGUGAUAAGGUCCGUGUUCGAAAGGGAAACAGCCCAGACCACCAGCUAAGGUCCCAAAAUAUAUGUUAAGUGGAAAAGGAUGUGGCGUUGCCCAGACAACUAGGAUGUUGGCUUAGAAGCAGCCAUCAUUUAAAGAGUGCGUAAUAGCUCACUAGUCGAGUGACACUGCGCCGAAAAUGUACCGGGGCUAAACAUAUUACCGAAGCUGUGGAUUGUCCUUUGGACAAUGGUAGGAGAGCGUUCUAAGGGCGUUGAAGCAUGAUCGUAAGGACAUGUGGAGCGCUUAGAAGUGAGAAUGCCGGUGUGAGUAGCGAAAGACGGGUGAGAAUCCCGUCCACCGAUUGACUAAGGUUUCCAGAGGAAGGCUCGUCCGCUCUGGGUUAGUCGGGUCCUAAGCUGAGGCCGACAGGCGUAGGCGAUGGAUAACAGGUUGAUAUUCCUGUACCACCUAUAAUCGUUUUAAUCGAUGGGGGGACGCAGUAGGAUAGGCGAAGCGUGCGAUUGGAUUGCACGUCUAAGCAGUAAGGCUGAGUAUUAGGCAAAUACGGUACUCGUUAAGGCUGAGCUGUGAUGGGGAGAAGACAUUGUGUCUUCGAGUCGUUGAUUUCACACUGCCGAGAAAAGCCUCUAGAUAGAAAAUAGGUGCCCGUACCGCAAACCGACACAGGUAGUCAAGAUGAGAAUUCUAAGGUGAGCGAGCGAACUCUCGUUAAGGAACUCGGCAAAAUGACCCCGUAACUUCGGGAGAAGGGGUGCUCUUUAGGGUUAACGCCCAGAAGAGCCGCAGUGAAUAGGCCCAAGCGACUGUUUAUCAAAAACACAGGUCUCUGCUAAACCGUAAGGUGAUGUAUAGGGGCUGACGCCUGCCCGGUGCUGGAAGGUUAAGAGGAGUGGUUAGCUUCUGCGAAGCUACGAAUCGAAGCCCCAGUAAACGGCGGCCGUAACUAUAACGGUCCUAAGGUAGCGAAAUUCCUUGUCGGGUAAGUUCCGACCCGCACGAAAGGCGUAACGAUUUGGGCACUGUCUCAACGAGAGACUCGGUGAAAUCAUAGUACCUGUGAAGAUGCAGGUUACCCGCGACAGGACGGAAAGACCCCGUGGAGCUUUACUGUAGCCUGAUAUUGAAAUUCGGCACAGCUUGUACAGGAUAGGUAGGAGCCUUUGAAACGUGAGCGCUAGCUUACGUGGAGGCGCUGGUGGGAUACUACCCUAGCUGUGUUGGCUUUCUAACCCGCACCACUUAUCGUGGUGGGAGACAGUGUCAGGCGGGCAGUUUGACUGGGGCGGUCGCCUCCUAAAAGGUAACGGAGGCGCUCAAAGGUUCCCUCAGAAUGGUUGGAAAUCAUUCAUAGAGUGUAAAGGCAUAAGGGAGCUUGACUGCGAGACCUACAAGUCGAGCAGGGUCGAAAGACGGACUUAGUGAUCCGGUGGUUCCGCAUGGAAGGGCCAUCGCUCAACGGAUAAAAGCUACCCCGGGGAUAACAGGCUUAUCUCCCCCAAGAGUUCACAUCGACGGGGAGGUUUGGCACCUCGAUGUCGGCUCAUCGCAUCCUGGGGCUGUAGUCGGUCCCAAGGGUUGGGCUGUUCGCCCAUUAAAGCGGUACGCGAGCUGGGUUCAGAACGUCGUGAGACAGUUCGGUCCCUAUCCGUCGUGGGCGUAGGAAAUUUGAGAGGAGCUGUCCUUAGUACGAGAGGACCGGGAUGGACAUACCUCUGGUGUACCAGUUGUCGUGCCAACGGCAUAGCUGGGUAGCUAUGUGUGGACGGGAUAAGUGCUGAAAGCAUCUAAGCAUGAAGCCCCCCUCAAGAUGAGAUUUCCCAACUUCGGUUAUAAGAUCCCUCAAAGAUGAUGAGGUUAAUAGGUUCGAGGUGGAAGCAUGGUGACAU